UCCGGUUUGUCACCGGCAGUCUCCCUAGAGUGCCCUUGCGUAGCAACUAGGGACAAGGGUUGCGCUCGUUGCGGGACUUAACCCAACAUUUCACAACACGAGCUGACGACAGCCAUGCACCACCUGUGUAUCACCCUCGAAGGCGACGUCUUUUCGGACGCUUGCAGAUACAUGUCAAGCCCUGGUAAGGUUCUUCGCGUUGCAUCGAAUUAAGCCACAUGCUCCACCGCUUGUGCGGUCCCCCGCCAAUUCCUUUGAGUUUCAACCUUGCGGCCGUAGUCCCCAGGCGGUUCACUUAAUGCGUUAGCUGCGGCACCGGAGGUUACCCCCCGACACCUAGUGAACAUCGUUUAGGGCCGAGACUAC
RNAcentral lists this unclassified non-coding RNA (366 nucleotides) under uncultured bacterium. RNAcentral describes it as "contains 16S-23S intergenic spacer region". The record is from RNAcentral.